Molecule: long non-coding RNA, 457 nt
Organism: Folsomia candida
Lineage: Eukaryota; Metazoa; Arthropoda; Collembola; Entomobryomorpha; Isotomidae
Exons: 3
Source: RefSeq, a predicted model, not a curated record
CACUAUUAGAAAUAUAUUAGACUUAGGAUUAAUUACGCAAUUCGCAAGACAUGGCAGUUCUCCAAGUUCCUGCACCGGCUGAAGAGGAAGCAGAAUCACUUUUACAAUCCAUUUAUUAAGAUCUAUUGAUGGAAUUGGAGCACAUGCUGUACCAGGCGGAGGAGCAGGAUGAUAGGCAGAUUUGUAUUGCAAAUUUACAAAAAAUCAGGAAGAGCACAUUACCCUCGCCCCAGCCUCACCCGAUUUCGAAAUGGAAGAAGACACCGAGGAAGAAAAUACUUCCGAUGCAAAUGAAAAUGAUGCCACAUUGGAAAAUGAUGCCGCAGAUAACAACGAUCAAAAUUCGGAUUCAGGGACUCCCAAAUACAACUAAUCAAUAAUUUCAAUGUGCUUUUUUAUUUGUCCAAAUAUAUUUAGCACCAUUUGUAUUUUUCACACUAUGCAUCCAUUUCCAAAC